Molecule: ribosomal RNA, 292 nt
Filed under: uncultured bacterium
Lineage: Bacteria
Description: partial 16S ribosomal RNA
Rfam family: Bacterial small subunit ribosomal RNA
Source: RNAcentral
GUGCCAGCCGCCGCGGUAAUACGUAGGGUGCGAGCGUUGUCCGGAAUUACUGGGCGUAAAGAGCUCGUAGGUGGUUUGUCGCGUUGUCCGUGAAAACUCACAACUCAAUUGUGGGCGUGCGGGCGAUACGGGCAGACUGGAGUACUGCAGGGGAGACUGGAAUUCCUGGUGUAGCGGUGGAAUGCGCAGAUAUCAGGAGGAACACCGGUGGCGAAGGCGGGUCUCUGGGCAGUAACUGACGCUGAGGAGCGAAAGCGUGGGGAGCGAACAGGAUUAGAUACCCUGGUAGUCC